Sciurus carolinensis (gray squirrel) is the source of this 1234-nucleotide long non-coding RNA. RefSeq lists it as uncharacterized. The transcript has 4 exons. NCBI's taxonomy places the organism in Eukaryota, Metazoa, Chordata, Mammalia, Rodentia, Sciuridae. The record is from RefSeq and is a predicted model, not a curated record.
GCGGCGGCGGCUUCCCGCGCCUGACGCUGCUGUGGCCCCAGUCUGCUGCCCACCCGCUCGUGGGUCGCCGCCGGGCGGUGGCCGUGCGCCGCCCUCUGUGGCCUCCUGCUCCAGACUGCCGCUCAUGUGCGAUCGCGGCAUGACCUGCUCUGCAGCGCUCAUUUUCCUCACCUGAAAAUGGCGAGGCUGAGGUGCUGGGUGCCUCGGCCUGACAGCGGAGGGUCGGGAUUUGAGUGCCGACCCCUCUCGGGGGCGGCGAUCGGCCGGGCUAGGGGCGAGGGCGGGAUCCACGAGGCGGGGAGGGCGCAGAGCGUUCCAAGUCUGGUUGCUGUUGUUGGAAGGGGAAAGCCCCCUGAGCCUCCUGCUGGUUCCUGCCUGGGUGGCAGGAUUGUGUUCCUAAAGGACUUAGCGCGGUGCUAAGGAGGACUCGACCAGGACCACCCACGCCAGUUCAGUGCUCUAGAAAUGAGAAGGAAAAAAGAAAUCUCAAAAUGCCCAUGGAGAAUUUGUGUCCAUAAUCUCCAAAGAGGCUUUUCUCCGCGAUGACACCAGCCCUAAAGGCCAUAAAUGAGAAGAUUGAGAAAUCCACCUUACAUAAAAUUAAAAACCUGAUGUGUACCAAAAGACCGGCCAAGUCAAACGUCAAGUUCAUUAUGGAAGCUUGUGGAAGGAACGGAUCCUAGGCCUGGGAGUACAAGGACAUUUGAAAUCUGUUGCCAACCUGUCUUUCCGGCAUGACCUUCAUAACUUCAUCCACAAUCUCUACAUUCCAGUGAAGCUGGACAGAUCCUUGUAAAUGUUGUGCUCUUUCACCCUCUGAGUCAGCUGGGAUGUGGCUGCUUUCCAUGUUCACAUAUGAGGAGACUGAGGCAGAGAAGUGGAGCAGCUCCAUUUGGCUGGUGCACCCUGAAGUUCGUUCACCACAAAUGGAGCCCCAGAGAUACAGCAAAGGCCCUGACAGCCAGGCUUACCAAGCCAGAGUGUGGCCCUGCUGGCAGCUAGGUGAGCUGUCUGUUGGCAGUGCUGUGGGGCCAGGUUAAAUUGGAAUUCCCAGGCAUCGGCAGCUGAGGGACUGGAACCAGAAGUUACUGAAACCUGGGGGCUUCCAGAGGAAGUUCGGGGGAAGCAGUACCCCGGAUGAGUCCAGGGACCAUCAGCAGGCCACCUGUAUCUGCAGCAGAAUCAUCAUGGGGCACCCCUACCCCAGCCACUAGAGCAGAAUCUCUGGAGGCAA